This 254-nucleotide ribosomal RNA is filed under the name uncultured bacterium. RNAcentral describes it as "partial 16S ribosomal RNA". It matches the Rfam family "Bacterial small subunit ribosomal RNA", at positions 524 to 777 of the family's 1533-position model. The record is from RNAcentral.
UACGGGGGGGGCAAGCGUUGUUCGGAAUUACUGGGCGUAAAGGGCUCGUAGGUGGCCAACUAAGUCAGACGUGAAAUCCCUCGGCUUAACCGGGGAACUGCGUCUGAUACUGGAUGGCUUGAGUUUGGGAGAGGGACGCGGAAUUCCAGGUGUAGCGGUGAAAUGCGUAGAUAUCUGGAGGAACACCGGUGGCGAAGGCGGCAUCCUGGACCAAUAUUGACGCUGAGGAGCGAAAGCCAGGGGAGCAAAACGGG